AUGCUGGAUCUUUUGCAACGCCUCGGCUUUCCUCAAAGAUGGCGGGCCCUCCUGACGACUCUCUUCACCACGGCCUCCUCUAGGGUUUUGCUCAACGGAAUCCCUGGGAGGGACAUCAUGCAUGGACGGGGUUUUCUUCAGGGUGAUCCCCUCUCGCCCCUCCUGUUCGACAUCGCCACCGACCCACUUCAGAGAAUUCUGGAAAAGGCUACGGAAUCCGGCUUGCUGUCUGCUAUG
This 237-nucleotide ribosomal RNA is filed under the name Triticum aestivum (bread wheat). RNAcentral describes it as "partial small subunit ribosomal RNA". Lineage: Eukaryota; Viridiplantae; Streptophyta; Magnoliopsida; Poales; Poaceae. The record is from RNAcentral.